RNAcentral lists this transfer RNA (66 nucleotides) under Helcomeria spinosa. RNAcentral describes it as "tRNA-Phe". The record is from RNAcentral. Lineage: Eukaryota; Metazoa; Arthropoda; Insecta; Hemiptera; Coreidae.
ACUUGGAUAGCUUAAUUUAAAGCUUAAUAUUGAAGAUAUUAUGAUAAGAGUAAAUCUUUUCAAGUG